Molecule: ribosomal RNA, 253 nt
Filed under: uncultured bacterium
Lineage: Bacteria
Description: partial 16S ribosomal RNA
Rfam family: Bacterial small subunit ribosomal RNA
Source: RNAcentral
UACGUAGGUGACAAGCGUUGUCCGGAUUUACUGGGCGUAAAGAGCGCGCAGGCGGUCGAUCAAGUCGAGUGUGAAGGCCCCCGGCUCAACUGGGGAGGGUCAUUCGAUACUGAUCGACUCGAAGGCAGGAGAGGGUAGUGGAAUUCCCGGUGUAGUGGUGAAAUGCGUAGAUAUCGGGAGGAACACCAGUGGCGAAGGCGACUACCUGGCCUGUUCUUGACGCUGAGGCGCGAAAGCUAGGGGAGCAAACGGG